CCGACCUUAGCUCAGUGGAAGAGCAAUCAUAGUUACUCGAAACUUGGAUGGUCGCCUGUUCAAAUCAGGCAGGUCGGU
Molecule: transfer RNA, 78 nt
Filed under: Volvariella volvacea V23
Lineage: Eukaryota; Fungi; Basidiomycota; Agaricomycetes; Agaricales; Pluteaceae
Description: tRNA-Ser (CGA) (tRNA-Ser-CGA-3-1)
Rfam family: tRNA
About the family: Transfer RNA (tRNA) molecules are approximately 80 nucleotides in length. Their secondary structure includes four short double-helical elements and three loops (D, anti-codon, and T loops). Further hydrogen bonds mediate the characteristic L-shaped molecular structure. tRNAs have two regions of fundamental functional importance: the anti-codon, which is responsible for specific mRNA codon recognition, and the 3' end, to which the tRNAs corresponding amino acid is attached (by aminoacyl-tRNA synthetases). tRNAs cope with the degeneracy of the genetic code in two manners: having more than one tRNA (with a specific anti-codon) for a particular amino acid; and 'wobble' base-pairing, i.e. permitting non-standard base-pairing at the 3rd anti-codon position.
Source: RNAcentral